RNAcentral lists this transfer RNA (71 nucleotides) under Loxodonta africana (African savanna elephant). It matches the Rfam family "tRNA". From Rfam's summary of the family: Transfer RNA (tRNA) molecules are approximately 80 nucleotides in length. Their secondary structure includes four short double-helical elements and three loops (D, anti-codon, and T loops). Further hydrogen bonds mediate the characteristic L-shaped molecular structure. tRNAs have two regions of fundamental functional importance: the anti-codon, which is responsible for specific mRNA codon recognition, and the 3' end, to which the tRNAs corresponding amino acid is attached (by aminoacyl-tRNA synthetases). tRNAs cope with the degeneracy of the genetic code in two manners: having more than one tRNA (with a specific anti-codon) for a particular amino acid; and 'wobble' base-pairing, i.e. permitting non-standard base-pairing at the 3rd anti-codon position. The record is from Rfam by way of RNAcentral. Lineage: Eukaryota; Metazoa; Chordata; Mammalia; Proboscidea; Elephantidae.
GCAUUGGUGGUUCAGUGGUAGAAUUCUUGCCUUCCAUGUGAAAGACUUGGGUUUGAUUCCUGGCUAAUAUA